Anguilla anguilla (European eel) is the source of this 2247-nucleotide long non-coding RNA. RefSeq lists it as uncharacterized. NCBI's taxonomy places the organism in Eukaryota, Metazoa, Chordata, Actinopteri, Anguilliformes, Anguillidae. The transcript is spliced from 2 exons. The record is from RefSeq and is a predicted model, not a curated record.
UUCGAUAGUGAUUUUCUAAUAAAGUCAAGGGGAUUUUUUCAGGAUUGAAAAUAAUGGGAAUCAGUUCUGUGAAGCAAUAAGUGUGUCGUUGACCCAGUUGAACAAACUGGGAUGCACAAGAGCAGAUUCCCAGAAGGUUUGUGUUUGUCCAGCUAACCAAGGGUUAGAUGUAUUCCUGACAGCUACAGAACAGGUAAGGACAUGAGGUACAUCAUAGUAACAAUCUGGGUAUUGUUUUUGCUGAAAGGUAUUCUAUUCAGCCACUUCAGAAUUAUUUUGAUAACCAAUGAAACAGAUGUGCCAAAAUGUCUGACUUCAGUGAAGUGUUUGAAAAUCAGUGGCAGUGUGUGUGUGUGUGUGUGUGUGUGUGUUUGUGUGCAUGUCUGCAUGCAAACACGCAGUUGUAGAUGAUAGUGUAUAUUAAUGAAUUAUAUACUGAGUGAUGUCUUGCUUCUAUGUUUUGGAAUGCAGUUUUAUCAGUAGUUUUCAAUCUGUGAAGUCUAUGUUUUUACAUGAAUGUCUUGUUUAUGGCAUUAUUGCAGUACAGUAUGUCUGUAGAAGUAGCUGCGGCUGCUCCUGUGGCUGCUCCUGCGGCCUUAAGUAGCUGCCCUACUUACAGAGGAAAUGCAUAAGUGACAUCAAUCAGGUCGCUGCUCCUCUGGGAGAUGCGAUUAAAAAACUAAAAUCACAAGCAUGAAGAAUCUGGGAUAUCAUAAAUCAUAUUUUACAUUCCCACCCCUUUCUUCACCGGGGGGGGGGGGGGGGGUAUGGACCGCCACCGUUGUCUGAUGUCCCCUGAUCCCACUCGGCUAAACACCCCCAUGGAAUGCGCCCGGCAUUCUGGGGCUUUGGAUUUAAUGAGAGCCCCGCUAGUGCAUGGCGUAUAGGGCUCAGCCGUGCAAUGGCGCAUUCGAGAAACGGCGGAGGCUUUCUGAGACGGAGCGCCGGCUGCCUCUCUAGCGAGAGAUGAAGGUUUAGUAAGCGGAAUACUGCCGAGAGAUGACACUGCUAAAAUUAACAUGCUGUCUGGUGAGCGGCGGGGUAAAAAUAGACGGCGGAGAGGAGGCGUGUUUGCGCGCAUCGUUAGCGGCCGUGCGCCGCUUCGAGGGCGACGCAGUAAAAAGAUCGCCUGCGCGCUUCUCGUCUGCAGGUACUUGUUGGAGUCGCAGUUCUUAACACCAAACUGCUGCUGUGCAGAGCAGCAGCGUUUAGGUUUUCACUGGAACUACUGAUAAACGGCACAACAUGGGCCUCGGCUGCGCUGUGCUGCUCUUGAGGCUGAGCAGAUGUGUUUCAGGAAGUUUAACAUGUUAUAAACUGCACUGACCGCAGUGUGUUAACACAGCCAAUGCAGUUUGUUCUCACGUCAAAUCUACAGAGUUAUCACUGAUGAGUGUGAACCAUCUUCAUACUUGAUAAUGUAAGCCGUCUGUUAUUUUUUUUUUAAAACAGGCGUUGGUGAUUUAGAUCCCUUAUUAGCCAUUUCCUCGCAGGUAGAGGCUUGCAGAACCAAGCGGAAGCUGACUCUCCUGGUAGCCUCACUCCCACCGCCCCCCCUUCUUAAGUGCAAGUCAGGCUCGCACCUCUUUGGAGGACUAUUGUUUAUUUUUACCAGCCCUUUAAUUGCACCCUUUGAGAGUGAGACUUCUGAGGCCACGAGCUGUUAAUGAAACUUACGGAGAGUGUCUCGCAGAGGUCCCAGCUCCUGACACUUCACUGUGGGGAAACCAGCGGUGAUGUGAGGAGAAACAAAGGCGCCGCUUCAUCCCCGGGACAGAAGACGUCCCCUCUGUCCUCUGUCGGGGGCGGGGUGGCGACGCUCGGUAGGGCCAGAGCCCCUGUGGUCUGGACGCCCUGUGACGGGAGCAAGCAGCUGUUUCCCGGCGCUGCUGCAGCUUGGCGCGUCUGUCCGGAAGUUUCCGCGCAGGGUUGCCACGGUGCGCUGCUGGCGGAGCGACGGGCCGCCGCUGAGCCUGAGUCGCCAAGUGCGGCCUCCCUGAACUGCUGCUUCAGACGCCCUGCCUGCCUUCUCCUACAAAAGCACUAAGGCCAGAGAGACAGCCAACCGCCAGAUUCCUCUGCCUCACAAUCAUGUUUAAAAACAUUUUUAGAAAUCAGAAAUUAAACCACUUGAUUUAGGAGUGAGGUCUACUUCACUCAAAAAUAGCUCAUUUGUAUUAAUGCCAUCAUAGUGCAUGGAGUGUGUAAUGCUUGGAAGCAAUGAAACAGUUCUGUUUGGGUGCCUCA